CUACGGGCGGCAGCAGUGGGGAAUAUUGUACAAUGGGCGCAAGCCUGAUGCAGCCAUGCCGCGUGUAUGAAGAAGGCCUUCGGGUUGUAAAGUACUUUCAGCGGGGAGGAAGGGAGUAAAGUUAAUACCUUUGCUCAUUGACGUUACCCGCAGAAGAAGCACCGGCUAACUCCGUGCCAGCAGCCGCGGUAAUACGGAGGGUGCAAGCGUUAAUCGGAAUUACUGGGCGUAAAGCGCACGCAGGCGGUUUGUUAAGUCAGAUGUGAAAUCCCCGGGCUCAACCUGGGAACUGCAUCUGAUACUGGCAAGCUUGAGUCUCGUAGAGGGGGGUAGAAUUCCAGGUGUAGCGGAGAAAUGCGUAGAGAUCUGGAGGAAUACCGGUGGCGAAGGCGGCCCCCUGGACGAAGACUGACGCUCAGGUGCGAAAGCGUGGGGAGCAAACAGGAUUAGAUACCCGCGUAGUC
RNAcentral lists this ribosomal RNA (464 nucleotides) under uncultured bacterium. Its description in RNAcentral is "partial 16S ribosomal RNA". It matches the Rfam family "Bacterial small subunit ribosomal RNA", at positions 339 to 795 of the family's 1533-position model. The record is from RNAcentral.